UGGAGCUCUGGUGCGGCAGCCCGUUCUGGCUCAGUACUUAUUUCCACACUUAGAGGAUUGAUUCUCUUUUUAAAGCGACUGGUUGUUUCUUCUCGGGUUGUGAAACGCCUUCCUCGACGUUAGAACUGGUUUCAACCCACGCCGAAAGACAGAAGAGAGGGACGUGAAGAAGUCCCCUUCCAAGAAACCACAUCAGGAAAGAGUGCUGCUGUUACACCUACUGUACAGAGAGGACAGAGCCACGCAUGCGUGCUGGGCUUGUUUUUCACAAAGCUCUUCUUAAAGUGAGCUGGCAGCCAGCGAGCUCCCGUCUUUGUACAGAGACCGCAGAGCUGGAGAGCAGCUGUGAGCAGCAUCUAGCGUUGUGACUUUUUAAGCAAUCCCAAUGAAGCGCUUGUAGAGCCCACACUGAUCCUCCCUGCAGUCUUUUUCGCAGGGCAGAGAAAUUGAUCAGUGUUAAGAAAAGAUCACAUUUUUAAUGAGAUCUUGACUUUUCUUCCCCCCCCCCCUUUUUUUCUAACAGUAUAUUUUUAUAGACUUUGUUAUUAGAAACAACAACAUGGUGCUGGGGAAGGUGAAGAGUUUGACAAUAAGCUUCGACUGUCUUAAUGACAGCAAUGUCCCCGUCUAUUCAAGCGGGGACACAGUCUCAGGAAGGGUAAAUUUAGAAGUUACGGGGGAAAUUAGAGUCAAAUCGCUUAAAAUCCAUGCAAGAGGACAUGCAAAAGUACGCUGGACUGAAUCGAGAAAUGCUGGAUCCAACACUGCCUACACACAGAAUUACACCGAAGAAGUAGAAUAUUUCAACCAUAAAGAUAUCUUGAUUGGGCACGAAAGAGAUGAUGACAAUUCCGAAGAAGGUCUCCACAUCAUUCAUUCAGGACGGCAUGAAUAUGCAUUCAGUUUUGAGCUUCCACAGACACCACUUGCUACCUCAUUUGAAGGCAGACAUGGCAGUGUGCGUUAUUGGGUGAAAGCAGAAUUGCACAGGCCUUGGCUUCUACCAGUAAAAUUAAAGAAGGAAUUUACAGUCUUUGAACAUAUAGAUAUCAACACUCCUUCAUUACUGUCACCCCAAGCAGGCACAAAAGAAAAGACUCUGUGUUGCUGGUUUUGUACCUCAGGCCCAAUAUCCUUAAGUGCCAAAAUCGAAAGGAAGGGCUAUACCCCAGGUGAAUCAAUUCAGAUCUUUGCAGAGAUUGAGAACUGCUCGUCCCGGAUGGUGGUGCCAAAGGCGGCCAUUUAUCAAACACAGGCAUUCUAUGCCAAAGGAAAAAUGAAGGAAGUAAAGCAGCUUGUCGCCAACCUGCGAGGGGAGUCCCUGUCAUCAGGGAAGACUGAAACCUGGAAUGGCAAACAGCUGAAAAUUCCACCUGUUUCCCCAUCAAUCCUUGAUUGUAGUAUAAUCCGUGUGGAAUAUUCUUUAAUGGUAUAUGUGGAUAUUCCAGGUGCAAUGGAUUUGUUCCUUAAUUUACCACUUGUCAUUGGUACCAUACCGUUACACCCGUUUGGCAGCAGAACAUCAAGUGUGAGCAGCCAAUGUAGCAUGAAUAUGAGUUGGCUUGGUCUGACACUGCCUGAAAGACCUGAAGAACUUGGUUCGAACUGCGUGUACUUUUGCCUUCAGCACCUCCUAGCUAUGCAGAAGUGGUCACUGAGGAGCAAAGACAGUCCAGCCUAGCACCUGUAGCUGCUUGUGAUGACUUUGAAAGAGCACUUCAAGGGCCAUUGUUCGCCUACAUCCAGGAGUUCCGUUUCUUGCCUCCUCCACUUUAUUCUGAGAUUGACCCAAAUCCAGACCAGCCUUCAGAUGACCGGCCAUCCUGCCCUUCGCGUUGAAGGAAUGCCUCAUAAGAAGAAUUGACUUGGGUCUGAGUUGUAUUUUUGCUGUGUUGAGGAUAAGGGCAUCCUUUUGGAGACACAUGUUGAAAGGGGAAGAUCUUGCCUAAGAGAAAAGAUGAAAUAACGAAACAACCUGUGAUUAUGCUUUUCAAGUCUACGGCAACAUCAUAGGACUGCUCUUCAUGCUUGAAGACCUGAGCUUUCCCUCCCUGUCGUUAUCUUGGCACAUACUAAGAGCAGCCUUAAUAGCCUACACUCAUGUGUCAAAAACACUCACCGUGUUGCAAGAGGGAUAACUUCCGCUUUUGAUUUGAAAAUUUGCACAUGCUCGAUGCUUAUGUUGUGCGGUUCAGUGUCACUACAGCUAUUUCUCAUUUAUGUUGGGACUGUUGUUACCCCCUUCUAACUUGUUUGUGGUCCGCACAACAAGGAGCAAAAGAAAGCUUUGAAAACUUUAUGAUGACAAAUGCACUGACUUUUUUUUUUAUUCAGAAAACAAAACAAUAUAGCCUGGACUUUUCUUGCGUAUGCACAUGCUCUAAACUGUCCCAGUAAGACUGAACUGUGAAUCAGCUCUUCAGCUUGGAUACUAUUGUGGAUUGAUUACAAACAUCAAAUGCCUUCAAGCCAAUCCUUGCUGUAUGUUUUGCAGCCUACUGUAGUAGAUAAGCAACAAUGUGUGAGGGGGCGGGGGAAGAAUAACAGAAGGAAACUAAUAGGAGUCUUCUUCAAGAUUGUAUACCUUCUUGAUUCCUUUUAAAAAUGUGUUGCCUUUCUACUAUUACCACAAACAAAAAUUUUGUUACAGACUGCCUAAAAUCACUUAAUCUCAGGUGAACAUCACUUGCCAAAAUGUUGAAAUGCUAUUUGUGUUUAUGUUGCACUGUUGAGUAUUUUUUUCCUUCUAUUUUUGUUAUUCUAUUUGUUUGGAAAGGGGGCGGGGCUUGGAAAAGGGACAUGCACAAAGAAAUCCAUCCUUGUUUCUUAUUAUCUUUCUGUAACAUGAGACUCAAUUAAGAAAAGUCUGGUCAAGUUACAAUGUUCAGAAAAGAGCCACCGGAGGUCAAUAAUUUCUGGAGAAAAGUUGUGCAUGAUUCAUGUAGUGAUUCUCAGAAAGGUUUCCCUGAUAGUGAAGUAGGUAGAGGAAGUAAAAUUAUUUUUAUACAUAGUUAUUUCAUGUUCACAGAUUUUGUACUAAGCAAUUUGUAGUGAGCUUGGAAGACACGUAUAGAGGGAGUCUUCACUUGGAAGGACAGUAUAUUUUAAAAGAGAAGGUUGUUUUUAGGACAGUUCCUCUGGUGUUUCCUGCCCAGAUUCCUUUUGCUUCAAGAAUGAAGAACUGUAGGGGAAAAAUUGGUAAAAAAAAAUACAGCUGCAAAAUAAGGAGGCGGCCCUGAAAUAAUAAAAUCAGUAGCCGUAGAUAGCUGGCAUAGAAUUGCUUUGCUUGUGUAAUUUAGAUACCUGAAAGGAAACUCAUAAGAUCUUCAGAUGACUGGGCAUUAACUAACUUGCCUUAAGUAUAAGGGAUCAGCUGGGGAGUGAUAGUUUUAGACCUUUUGGUACACAACUAGUACUUUGCCAUCCAUUGACACACUUGAAAAAGAAAUAUGCAGCUGAUUUUUACCAAAAGCCACCUUGAUGGUUAAGUGCAGAAUGACCACAUUAUAACUGCUAUAUUGUUUAAUUCUAUACAUGUUAAUACAUCUGGUUUAUAGGUUGCUUUGCUGGGGUGAAGCUCCACUGACUUAAGUUCCAUCUAAGGCUUCAUAACAAAUAGUGUAGGCUUUUCCAUAAGUGGCCUUCAAGAAAACAUGGACAGCACUUCAUGUUUGAACAAUAACAGGGUGAAAAAUACGGCAUAAAAAUGAGUCGCGUUUUAAGUGAUUCAGUUAGAGAGUUUGGCCUUCAGCAAGCAAACUUAAUAUACUGGAUAAUAAGGAAACUGAGUGAUGAACAUUUAAAAAACAUUUUUGUGGAUGUCCCUCUUCUAUCGAGGAUUAGAACAUUUUGAUGGAAUGGUGGCAUAAAAGGGCAUUUGGUGGUUUUAUUAUUAUUUUUCUUUGCUGUUUUUGUUUUAACCAACUAGGGAACAAUUGCUGUUAAGCAUAGCAUUACAUUUAUCCCAAUACAACUGAAAUUUCCAUACAAAGCAAGAUUGACCAAUAUUGUAGUAAUUGGCACUGCAGCACAUCAAUUUGCGAUCAGUUUUAAAGUUGUAGAUACUACUAAAUUGUUCUUGCAAAAAACCCCACCUCUUUUACUCUUUUGUGGCAUUACUGUUUAUCCCUGAUUUCUUAAAAUAUUGGUCAAUUUCUGAACAUUGUAAAAUAUGAGGUUAAAAGCUGUAGUUCAGAAUUCAAAAUAAUUUCCUACUAUUAUUUUGAAUUGGUGGAAAAUAAGUAAAAUCCAAAACGUUAGAAAAACAAGUGCAAUAUUUAAUGUUUGCUUUAUAGAUUAUAUUCAAUGGCUGUUUGUAUUAUAUUUUUCUUUUUUAUUUCCUUUUUUUUAGUUUGGUGCUGAAUAUGUCCUUGUAGACGCUGUUUAAAGAAAAUGACACGUGGAAAACCAUUUAAUUUUUUCUAUUGCCCUUCCUUGUUGAUAAUAAACUUUUUUUAACAAAAAAAGAA
This is an RNA transcript of Sphaerodactylus townsendi, 4469 nucleotides long. It is a transcript of the gene named arrestin domain containing 3, with no coding region annotated. The record is from RefSeq and is a predicted model, not a curated record. The transcript is spliced from 8 exons. Lineage: Eukaryota; Metazoa; Chordata; Lepidosauria; Squamata; Sphaerodactylidae.